AAAAUGGCCACUAGCAAUCAUUACAGACUGACUGCUUAAAAUACAACUGCAAGUUUUGAGGCAAUAUAAAUUAUGUCAGAAGUCAUCUCAGGUUUGAUGAAAAUUGCUUCGUAAACAGUAAGUAAGUUAUUUAUGGAUCACUGCAAGGACAGAAAUAUGUUGGGCAAGAGCCAGUGCUGGUCUAUUGAACAGAUCCAGCUACAGCGACAGUUAAAGAACAGUGGCAUGAAAAAUGUCGCUGCAAGGCGGAAAAUGUGUCGAGCAAGAGCCACAGCCAAUAAAUCACGGAGGGGAAGCAUUUCCA
Long non-coding RNA from Priapulus caudatus, 304 nucleotides. RefSeq lists it as uncharacterized. NCBI's taxonomy places the organism in Eukaryota, Metazoa, Priapulida, Priapulimorpha, Priapulimorphida, Priapulidae. The record is from RefSeq and is a predicted model, not a curated record. The transcript is spliced from 3 exons.